This 217-nucleotide unclassified non-coding RNA is filed under the name uncultured Basidiomycota. Its description in RNAcentral is "sequence contains ITS2". The record is from RNAcentral. RNAcentral also lists the same sequence under 1 other name. Lineage: Eukaryota; Fungi; Basidiomycota.
AAUUUCUCAACUGCUUUGACUUGUAGUUAAAGCAACAGUUGGAUUUGGAGGAUUUUUGCUGGCGCCACUUUUAGUGGCUUGUCAGCUCCUCUUGAAAGCAUGAAGCUUUCCAGUAGGUUUCUGGCAAAGUGAUCUUCAAUGUGAUAGAUUGUCUACAUUGUUGAGAAACAGAGCCUUCUUACAGGAUCGCUAUAAAAGAAUAACUAUUUUAUGACCA